GCCCGCUUAGCUCAGUUGGUUAGAGCUUUGUGCUUAUAAGGGAGACUUGAUUACCAAGCUUUACGUAAGUAAACGCAAGGGUCGGCAGUUCGAGCCUGCCAGUGGGCA
Non-coding RNA from Collybiopsis luxurians FD-317 M1, 108 nucleotides. The record is from the annotation of a GenBank genome assembly. NCBI's taxonomy places the organism in Eukaryota, Fungi, Basidiomycota, Agaricomycetes, Agaricales, Omphalotaceae.